RNAcentral lists this ribosomal RNA (303 nucleotides) under uncultured bacterium. RNAcentral describes it as "partial 16S ribosomal RNA". It matches the Rfam family "Bacterial small subunit ribosomal RNA", at positions 507 to 808 of the family's 1533-position model. The record is from RNAcentral.
AGCAGCAGCCGCGGUAAUACGUAGGGUGCAAGCGUUAAUCGGAAUUACUGGGCGUAAAGCGUGCGCAGGCGGAUAGGUCAGUCUGUCUUAAAAGUUCGGGGCUUAACCCCGUGAUGAGAUGGAAACUGCCAAUCUAGAGUAUCGGAGAGGAAAGUGGAAUUCCUAGUGUAGCGGUGAAAUGCGUAGAUAUUAGGAAGAACACCAACGGCGAAAGCACUCUGCUGGGCCGACACUGACACUGAGAGACGAAAGCUAGGGGAGCAAAUGGGAUUAGAUACCCCCGUAGUCCCUGUCUCUUAUACA